UGCCUUGGAGGCCUCUGUUCCAAAAACUUCGUUUCAAGCUACAAUUACGGGACUCAGGUGGUCGAGUUGACGGAUCGAGUGAUCAAUUUAAAGAAAGACGGAGAAAAAAUUGAAGUCGUUGUUGAGAAGGCGCCAGAUGGUGCAGCAAUUGAAUUACCUCUUGAUCACACAGUUGUUGGUCAAGAACUAUUACUUGAUCAAGUUUGGAGAUGUAUCACUGAUCAGGAAAAUAAUAGGGAAAUUAUCGGCCUGUAUGGUAUCGGGGGAGCCGGCAAAACUACCCUUUUAAAACAAGUCAACAACAACUUCUGCCAUCAACAGCAUAAUUUUGAUGUUGUUAUCUGGGCGGCUGCGUCAACACUUCAAGAUGACAUUGGAAAAAGGAUUGGCUUUUCAGAAGACCAAAGCUGGGAGAAAAAAAGUCCUCAAGACAAGGCUGUGGACAUCGCUAGCAUUUUAAGCAGAAGGAAGUUUGUGUUGUUAUUGGAUGAUAUAUGGAAACCCAUUCAUUUAACAGAAUUGGGUGUCCCUCUUCAAAAACUAAAUGAUGGGUCCAAAGUAGUCUUGACAACUCGUUCAGCUGGUGUUUGCGAUCAAAUGGACGCUGAAAAGGUGGAAGUGUAUAGUUUGGCGCAUGAUAAAGCCUGGGAAUUAUUUCAGGAGAUGGUCGACAGAUCCACUCUUGACAGUCAUACCGGUAUUCCAGAGCUAGCCGAAACCUUGGCAAGAGAGUGUGGUGGGUUGCCGCUAGCGCUUAAAACAGUGGGUCGAGCCAUGAAAAGCCAAAGGAAAGUUGGAGAUUGGAAACGUGCAAUUCACAAAAUGAGAACAUCAGCUUCUAAAUUCUCAGGUAUGAAAGAAGAGGUGUUUUCGCGUUUAAAGUUCAGCUAUGAUAGUUUGUCUACGGAUGAACUUCGUUCCUGUCUCCUGUAUUGUUGUUUAUAUCCUGAAGACUACGAAAUUCCUAAAAGGGAAUUGAUUGAUUAUUGGAUUAGUGAAGGAUUUGUAUAUGAUUUUGAUGAUGGAUGUGAUUUUAUUGAUGACCUUCUUCAAGCAUGCUUAUUGGAGGAAGAAGGCGAUGAUCAUGUAAAGAUGCACGAUAUGAUUCGUGAGAUGUCAUUAUGGAUAGCGUGCACGGUAGACAAGGAGGAGGAGAACUUUCUGGUUCGCGCUGGAGUUGAAUUGACCGAAGCACCAAAGUUUGAAGAAUGGGAAGGUGCCAAACGGGUAUCUCUGAUGGGAAAUGGAAUUAGGAGCUUAUCGGAAAUUCCCACGUGUCCGCGCCUCUUAACUUUACUUCUGGGUGGAAAUCGGAUUGAGGAGAUUACUGAUGGCUUCUUUCAAUCGAUGUCUUCUCUUAGAGUAUUAAGUCUAAGAGGAAAUUUUCCCCUAAGAACACUACCUUCAGGGAUUUCAGGUUUGGUUUCAUUACAUCAUCUUGAUCUAUCAUCGACUAACAUAACUGGGUUGCCGCAAGAGCUGAAGGCGUUGGAGAAGUUGAGAUAUUUGAACUUGGACUAUACACGGUUUUUGUCUAUAAUUCCACAUCAAUUGAUAUCUGGUUUUUCAAAGUUGGAGGUACUCAGGUUGCUUUCACGCGGUCGCUGGAGCGUAAUAGAAGGUAACGUUCUAUGUGAUGAUGCUGAACCUUUGAUGAAGGAAUUGCUGGGUUUGAAGCAUUUAAAUGUUUUAAGCUGGACCUUCCGAAGUUCACUUGCUGUCCAAAAGUUUUUGAAAUAUCCAAAGCUGGUGAGCAUCACUCAAUCUGUAAUGGUUUGCCAAUGUGAAAGUCCACCGUUCAAUGUCUUACAUCUAGCAUACAUGGAGAAUCUUCAGGAGUUACGCAUUUCAGACAGUAAUUUGGAAGAGAUGAAGACUGACAGCACAGAAGAGGUAAAGAAACUUUUUCAAAGUGGUUUCCGCAGUCUCGACAGAGUUGUCAUAUGGAGUUGCCAAAAAAUGAAAGACUUAACGUGGCUAGUUUUUGUUCAAAUUCUCAAGCAGCUGCGUAUAGUCUUUUGUACAGAAAUGGAAGAAAUAAUUAGUGUUGAUAAAUUGAGAGAUAUUUCGAAGAUAAUCGGGUCAGAGCAUAACUUUUUUGCACAACUCGAAUCUCUAACCAUAAAGUGGGGAAGAAAUUUAAAGAGCGUUUACCCGAAUCCCCUGCCCUUUCCAAAGCUGAAGAAAAUUGAAGUACGUGAAUGCCCACAGCUGAAGAAGCUCCCACUCAAUUCCAGCAGCGCGAAGGAACGUCGAGUUGUCAUCGAGGGGUCGAAAAAAUGGUGGGAAGAGCUACAAUGGGAGGACCAAGCCACCCAAAAUGCUUUCUCUUCCGGUGUCGUACUUGGGGAUGAUUUUCAUUAAUAUGUUUGAAUAUGUAUUUCUUUUCUUUUUCUUUUUUUUUUUAAUUUUCAUUAGAUUUAAUUGCAUCUUGUUGUUGUUGUCUGGUGUGUCAAUCGUUAUCUAUUUUCAGUUAAUAAAAUUUCAGCAGUGGAUUCUUGGUUUUAGAAUCCUCCCACUGGAAAGAAUUUCUCCUUUGGCUUGAAUGCGACCUUUUUACUCGUCGACAAAAUUGUAUUUGUCGCUUAAGUCUUGUUUGUUUUAAAAUGCUGGCAUAUUUAUAGAGUGGGAACUCAGAUGCUGAACUCAUAGUAAAUAUUUAUUUAAUUUGUUAUAAUUAUAUUUGGUGAGAUAUUUAUUCAAUAAUUGCCCUAUCACUUUGUGCAUGAUCACAGAAUUUUGUACUUCCGUCUGUGAAAUAACUUUUGGAAAAGGAAAUUAAUUUUUUUAAGUAACGGUAAAUAUUUUAAAUUUUUAUUUUAAAUUUUAUUUUAAAUAAUAUAGUAUGUAAUGUGUCAUUUAUUUAGUGAUUGAUAAUUUAAUAUAGGAUUUAAAUAAAUUAAUUAUGCUAUUUUAUUAUUUAAUUAAUAAAUAUUAUAUAAUUUAAAAUAGAUUUUUGAGAUAAAAAUUAUAAAAGUAAAAUUCUACUCAACAGACUAAAUUUAAAAUGAUGUGAUUGGCAGGUAAGACUUAAGAAUUAGACAAAAUUUCUCAUUCAACAGCUUGUAGAAAAUUUAUACACUAGGCCUUAGCUAAACUUGGACUUGUCGUAUGUUUGAAGUAUUCGACGAUAAUCAUAUCUGCAUUUUGUGAAAUAAUUAAGAUUUUUUAUUUUUGGUUUGUUUAGGGCUUUUCAUCGGUCUUCGUCUUGGUCUUUGUCCUGGUCUUGGCGUCUUGCUAUCAAAUCAAGUGUUCUCUUCUCCCAUCCUCUAAUGAAAGUGCAGGGCCUCAAUUAUUUGUGCUGAGCUGUUUGUUACUGCUAUCACUUUAGAGGUUGAUGCUAAUGUCCAAAGGUCACAUUUAAUUUGCUUGAAUGCGACCUUUAUUUUGGUUGACAAAGAUUAUUUGGUUGCAAAGAUUAUAAUUAACAACAAGCUAAUAUCUAUAUAGUAGAGAGAGAAAUAACAAAUUCAAUGUUGGUAAAAUUUUAUCUUCCCUUCACUGCUCUCCUUUGCUGCAAUCAAGCUACAGUUGUAAAGUGUUUGAUAAACACUAAUUGUUGUGUCUUGAAAGAUAUGUUGAUAUAAUUUUUCACUUGUAUAAUAGAGAAUCUAUUAUGUUAUUAUUAAUAAUUUCGUCAAAAUUAUUAUUUAAAAUUUUAUAUUUAAUAAAUAUUAUUAACUUUUGUUUUAUAGUUACAAUUUUUUUUUUUUUUACAACAACUGUUGCUUAAAAAUUAUAACACUUCAAUUCCAAACAUACCUUAAGUCUAUAAGGCAUAAGUUUUCACUCUUCAGAAAGGUGUUUGAUGGAAAUGUAAAGAAGUUCGAUGAAAUGUCUCACCUACACAACCAAGCCACUUAACAUUGCAGUCUUAUAAUACGAAUUCCUGCCUUCUCUUCCAUUUUCACAAACAUAAUUCUUUCUUUCUCACUUUAUUUUCUUCCUUGAAAUUUUUGUUAACAAAAAUGGGUAACAUCAUUCUCAUGCGUGCUUCUUAUCACCAGACUCAAUUCUUGCAGUUUUAUUUUAUUUUAUUUUAUUUUUCCUUCGUGGAGAUGCUAAAAUAUAUAUGAGAUCUAAAAAGCUAAUCUUGAUGAGUUGCAGAAUCCAAUGCAGAAUUUGAAAGUUACAAAAGAUUAUAAAUACUAUUUUAACUUGUAAGCUUCCAUUGCUAUACAGUGAGGUAUGUCUAGAUAUCAUUUUGGUCUUUUAUAUAUUGGGUUCCAGUGAAAGACUUUUGUUCUAGUUGAAUUUAAUUUUGUCUUUGUAUUUACAGACAAACUAUUAGGGACAUUUAUCAUACAUAUUUGGCUAGUUCGCCGUGGAAAAAUAAUAAUAGUUGAAAAGACAUAGGGUACUUUUUAUUUUCCUUUAUAUUACUAAUAGAUUUCCCACGCGCAACAGACGAAGUCAUUGCUGCUUCAAUAAUUGCCCUAUCACUGUGUUCAUCAUCACAAAUUUCUUUAUUACGUUUGUGAAAUAACCUUAGCAUAACAAAAUUACUCCUCCUUUUUAACUAAUAAUAGAUAUCUCAAAUUUUAUUUUCAGAAUAUGGUAUGUAAUGUAAGUGAUUGAUAGUUCUUUAUAAAAUAUAUAAAUAAAUUAAUAGUGUUUUCUUAGUGUCUAAUAUAUAUAAAUCACUUGCUCCAUAUAUUGCACUAUUGAUAUGGGCUAAAGUUUUAUACUAUGAGACCCAAUUUCUAUAAUUUACACUAUAAGUUACAAGUAUUUAGGAAAAUACUAUUGCAAAUCAGAAGGUAUUAUCUAUUUUAUACCUAAAGCAUUUCACUAUUUAAGACUAGUAAAACUUCUAUAUUAUUAUAAUAUUUGAAUCAAACACCAAUAAGCGAGUAAAUCAGGUGGAAUGAGAAUGUUCUAACUUAACCAAGGUCCUCGGUUUGAAACUUAGAAAUGCAACUACAUUAAAUACUUAUUGGGAGAGAUUUGCCGCUUUAGUGGUCCUAUCCCGCUUGAAUCUAGAUUAGUCGGGGAUCUAAUGUGGUCUUUGGAUACUAGAUGAUUUAAAAUACCGAUAAUAUUGGAACCAAACUAAUUUACAAUUAUGAAGAUGUUAUAAUUUAAUAGAGGCAUAGUAACAAACUAUUAAUAGAGCGUAUAAAAUUUAAUGUAUAAACAAAAUUCUAUAAUUUACACUAUAAGUUGCAAGUAUUUAGGUCAAUACUAUUGCAAAUCAGAAGAUAUUAUCUAUUUUAUGCCGAAAAUAUUUCCACUAUUUAAGGAUAGUAAAACUUCUAUAUAAUUAUAAUAUUGGAACCAAACACCAACAAGCGAGUAAAUCAACUAGAAUGGAAAUGUUCUAACGUCAAGGUCCUCGGUUCAAAACUUAGAAAUGCAACUACAUUAAAUAUUUAUUGGGAGAGAUUUGCCGCUCUAGUAGUUCUAUCCGGGUCGAAUCUGGAUUAGUCGGGAAUCUAAUGUGGUCUUUGGAUACUAGAUGAUUUAAUGUACCAAUAAUAUUGGAACCAAACUAAUUUACAAUUAUGAGGAGGUUAUAAUUUAAUAGAGGCGUAGUAACAAACUAUUAAUAGAGUGUAUCAAAUUUAAUAUUGGAAUCCGAUGAUUGGUUGCAACAUAAGAUAUUUGUAAGCUUAGUUAAAGGUUCAUUAAAAAUUAUAGAGAUAUAUAAUUUCGCAGUCGAUGAAGCCGUGCAUGAGGUUAAGGCAAGUGAUGGAAUGACUUGCGUUACAAAAGAGGUAUGUGAAGUUGCACUAUAAAAAUAAAAUAAAUUUGUAUUUUCAAGUAGUGAAGGUGUAGUUAGUUUAUUUGCGGUAGCAGUUUCACAGCUGACAGAUGAACAAAGAGUGGUUGCUUGUCAAAUGGGCUUUGGUAGUUUGCGACAACUGAACCUUGGCAAGCUAAAAAGGAAACUUUGUGGCUAGUUAAUUGAGAUGAUUGAUACUUUGAGGUACAUUUUAGAGUUGAAUGGUAUUAGCUUUCAAACAAGAUCAUCAAAGAAACUCUACCAACUAGGAAAUUUAAACUUAAUCUAUGCUCCGCAAAUUCGAAUAUUCUCUAAUAUGAAACUACUUUUAUGUGUUUUAUUAUUCCUAGCUUUUACCGACUUGGUAACGUUGUUAUGGAAGCACGACAACUAUUAUGUCCGUGUAAUUUUUAUUGUAUCUUUUGUUAUGUCAUGAUAUCGAAGCUUAGUUUUAUGACUCUAACUACUAAGAACUGCAAUUGCAGCAUCUUUUGAAUAUUACAUAUGUGCUUGUAGUAUCUCGACGGAUUAAAACCUGCUAUUUAAGUUCUUCUACCCCCUCCCCCCCUUCAUUCUUUCAUUUAUACUUGCUGCACUAUUUACUUCGCACUCUGUAAAGCCAGAUGAAAGCUUGUUCAUUUAUGUUCACUUGCAAUUCAAAAGCACAGUUUAUUUCAACUGUCAAAUUGACAACUUGCACGUAUAGAUUUCAGUCGAAACAAGGUUAUUGGUCGAUCAAGAAAUUGAAUCCAUAUGGCCGUUCCAGCGUUAUUCAACUACCUAAUAUCAAAUAUAUAAAUUAAUUCAACCCACUUCUGUGUCAAAGGCAUGGAACAAAUUAUGAAAGAUUUUUCAGCUAUCAUAAAUUCGAACGAGUGUAGUUUGUAUCCUUUCGAACUUAGACAGAUUUUCCUUCCAUUAACCUUAUAGUGUUAGUAAUCCUAUUACUUGUUUUUAAAGCUUGAAUAGUAUACCGAAAUUUUUGGUUUUUGCAACAUAAACUUGUAUGUAAUGUACAUUUUAUAGUUCUUUACAAAUUAAUUGCUGCUAAAAUAAUUGUUUCGACUACUAUAUUUAUUGUUAUAAUAGAUAAACAUUUUCUUGCAACUCAAACAGUUCCAAUGGCAUGAUCUGCAUCCCCCGUUUGCCUCUUGGGCUACGAACCUGCUUAACAGCUGCACCAUCUUGCUCCUUUUCAUCAAACGGCAACUUCGCUGCAGACAAAAAGAGGGGGUACACUGCCCAGGGGCACCAUAAACGCAGCCCAAAAAGAUGAUUUUGUCUUUCCAUGUCUUAGUAUUUUAACCAAAAAUAAUAAUAAUAAUUCUUUACAUCAUCAAUGAUUGCACUUGUAAGCCAGGCAAUAGUUUUUUUAUUAAAUAAAAAAUUAAUGUUAAAUUUUUUUUUUUUUUUUUUUUUUUUUUAUCUAGCUAUCAUUGACUUAAUAUUUUGAAUCUUCAUCCAAAGUUAAGGCACAAAACUUUUAUUCUAAAUAAAUAUUCUCAAUAUAAAUUUAUCACUUAAAUAAUAAAUAAUAAGAUUUAACAUUAAUUCUGUCGUUACUGAAAUGAAUUGUAAAUUUUAUAUGACGUGUAAACGUAUCAUUAUGUUCUUGAUAUUUGACAUAUGAAUUAUAAAGCAACAAAUGUAUCAUAUUUUUAUUUCGGUAUUGUGCUUCUCCAUAUUUGCUUAAUUCUUUUCGUUGUACUCAUUGCUUCUCUUCCUCUUUUCGUCAACGACAAUGGGUAACCUAAUCUCAACCUUCUUACCAGCAGACUUAUUUGAUCGAAUUUCAAACUGCGUUGGUGAACAAGCAAAAUAUGUAUGGGGUCUCGAAAAAAAUCUUCGGAUCUUGGAGACUGAAUUGCACAAAUUGACUCGAGCAAGGGCCGAUCUGAAGACCAGGGUUGAGGUCGAACAACAACGACCUCGAACCAGACGAACGAACCAGGUCGCAGGGUGGCUUGAAGAUGUGCAAAAUCUGGAAACUGAAUUUGCCGAGCUGGAACGAGUCAGAGCUCAAGAAAUGGAUAGAUUGUGCCUUGGAGGCCUCUGUUCCAAAAACUUCGUUUUAAGCUACAAUUACGGGACUAAGGUGGUCGAGUUGACGGAUCGAGUGAUCAAUUUAAAGAAAGACGGAGAAAAAAUUGAAGUCGUUGUUGAGAAGGCGCCGGAUGGUGCAGCAAUUGAAUUACCUCUUGAUCACACAGUUGUUGGUCAAGAACUAUUACUUGGUCAAGUUUGGAGAUGUAUCACUGAUCAGGAAAAUAACAGGGGAAUUAUCGGCUUGUAUGGUAUAGGGGGAGUCGGCAAAACUACCCUUUUAAAACAAGUCAACAACA
This 8067-nucleotide long non-coding RNA is filed under the name Citrus maxima (pomelo). RNAcentral describes it as "long non-coding RNA (CMAX_LNC000887)". The record is from RNAcentral. Lineage: Eukaryota; Viridiplantae; Streptophyta; Magnoliopsida; Sapindales; Rutaceae.